GACGAACGCUGGCGGCGUGCUUAACACAUGCAAGUCGAACGGAAAGGCCCUGCUUGCCGGGUACUCGAGUGGCGAACGGGUGAGUAACACGUGGGUGAUCUGCCCUGAACUUCGGGUUACGCCUGGGAAACUGGGUCUAAUACCGGAUAGUAGCCAUUUUUAGUGUGAUGGUUGGAAAGUUUUUUCGGUGUAGGAUGAGCGCGCGGCCUAUCAGCUUGUUGGUGGGGGAAUGGCCUACCAAGGCGGCGGCGGGUAGCCGGCCUGAGAGGGUGGACGGCCACAUUGGGACUGAGAUACGGCCCAGCCGCCGACGGGAGGCAGCAGUGGGGAAUAUUGCACAAUGGGCGCAAGCCUGAUGCAGCGACGCCGCGUGGGGGAUUACGGCCUUCGGGUUGUAAACGCCUUUCGCUAGGGACGAAGCUUUUUGUGACGGUACCUAGAGAAGAAGCACCGGCUAACUACGUG
This 465-nucleotide ribosomal RNA is filed under the name uncultured bacterium. Its description in RNAcentral is "partial 16S ribosomal RNA". It matches the Rfam family "Bacterial small subunit ribosomal RNA", at positions 28 to 507 of the family's 1533-position model. The record is from RNAcentral.